Molecule: long non-coding RNA, 533 nt
Organism: Oncorhynchus gorbuscha (pink salmon)
Lineage: Eukaryota; Metazoa; Chordata; Actinopteri; Salmoniformes; Salmonidae
Exons: 2
Source: RefSeq, a predicted model, not a curated record
UAUGGCAUAAUCUGUCUAGAGGACCUGAUCCAUGAGAUCUACUCUGUGGGGAUGAACUUUCGGGUGGUCAGCAACUUCAUAUGGCCGUUCAAGCUGUCUGUGGCUCGUCACACUGCCAGGGACAAGACAGGUCUUUUGAAGAACAUUGGCAACCCAGGGCCCAGUGGGAUGGACGUUAACUCAAUCAUCAGGCAGCCUACUCAUUGGUAGCUCUAUUCAUAAGGAUUCAAUUCAUCUUUGUCUUACCACCACUGGGACCCAGCUGGCAGAGUUCAUACUGGACCUGAUCAGAAUUUUACACAUGAAAAGACUGCCCCUCUCUGGACUACAUUGUGAUUAGACAGCAGUUUGUCUCUCUGUUUUGUUGAACAGUCUGUAAUCUCAUGUUACCACCUCUGCAGAGGUUCCGUAUGAAGGAGAUUCUAAUAGCUUUAUCACUACUCGCUUUUACCCUUCAGGUUGUUGAGGGGAUGUAAUUAAGCUUACUAUGUAUGUGAGAUGAAUGUUUUUCAAUAAACUGAAACGAUUUUGUA